RNAcentral lists this ribosomal RNA (576 nucleotides) under Penicillium sp. P9_D3_11. Its description in RNAcentral is "eukaryotic LSU rRNA". The stretch from base 207 to 359 matches the Rfam family "5.8S ribosomal RNA". Lineage: Eukaryota; Fungi; Ascomycota; Eurotiomycetes; Eurotiales; Aspergillaceae. The record is from RNAcentral.
GUUCCGUAGGUGACCUGCGGAGGAUCAUUACCGAGUGAGGGCCCUCUGGGUCCAACCUCCCACCCGUGUUUAUUUUACCUUGUUGCUUCGGCGGGCCCGCCUUUACUGGCCGCCGGGGGGCUCACGCCCCCGGGCCCGCGCCCGCCGAAGACACCCUCGAACUCUGUCUGAAGAUUGAAGUCUGAGUGAAAAUAUAAAUUAUUUAAAACUUUCAACAACGGAUCUCUUGGUUCCGGCAUCGAUGAAGAACGCAGCGAAAUGCGAUACGUAAUGUGAAUUGCAAAUUCAGUGAAUCAUCGAGUCUUUGAACGCACAUUGCGCCCCCUGGUAUUCCGGGGGGCAUGCCUGUCCGAGCGUCAUUGCUGCCCUCAAGCCCGGCUUGUGUGUUGGGCCCCGUCCUCCGAUUUCCGGGGGACGGGCCCGAAAGGCAGCGGCGGCACCGCGUCCGGUCCUCGAGCGUAUGGGGCUUUGUCACCCGCUCUGUAGGCCCGGCCGGCGCUUGCCGAUCAACCCAAAUUUUUAUCCAGGUUGACCUCGGAUCAGGUAGGGAUACCCGCUGAACUUAAGCAUAUAAAU